AUUGAACGCUGGCGGCAUGCCUUACACAUGCAAGUCAAACGGUAACAGGUCUUCGGAUGCUGACGAGUGGCGAACGGGUGAGUAAUACAUCGGAACGUGCCCGAUCGUGGGGGAUAACGAAGCGAAAGCUUUGCUAAUACCGCAUACGAUCUACGGAUGAAAGCAGGGGACCGCAAGGCCUUGCGCGAACGGAGCGGCCGAUGGCAGAUUAGGUAGUUGGUGGGAUAAAAGCUUACCAAGCCGACGAUCUGUAGCUGGUCUGAGAGGACGACCAGCCACACUGGGACUGAGACACGGCCCAGACUCCUACGGGAGGCAGCAGUGGGGGAUUUUGGACAAUGGGCGAAAGCCUGAUCCAGCCAUGCCGCGUGCAGGAUGAAGGCCUUCGGGUUGUAAACUGCUUUUGUACGGAACGAAAAGACUCUGGUUAAUACCUGGGGUCCAUGACGGUACCGUAAGAAUAAGCACCGGCUAACUACGUGCCAGCAGCCGCGGUAAUACGUAGGGUGCAAGCGUUAAUCGGAAUUACUGGGCGUAAAGCGUGCGCAGGCGGUUAUAUAAGACAGAUGUGAAAUCCCCGGGCUCAACCUGGGAACUGCAUUUGUGACUGUAUAGCUAGAGUACGGCAGAGGGGGAUGGAAUUCCGCGUGUAGCAGUGAAAUGCGUAGAUAUGCGGAGGAACACCGAUGGCGAAGGCAAUCCCCUGGGCCUGUACUGACGCUCAUGCACGAAAGCGUGGGGAGCAAACAGG
RNAcentral lists this ribosomal RNA (751 nucleotides) under uncultured bacterium. RNAcentral describes it as "bacterial SSU rRNA". It matches the Rfam family "Bacterial small subunit ribosomal RNA", at positions 28 to 776 of the family's 1533-position model. The record is from RNAcentral.